GUCUCUGGCAGGACUGUGAGGCGGCACUUAGCGCCCUGGUCGCUCGCGCCCCGCCGACGCCUCCUUUUUCUCUCCCUACCUCUGCGCUCUGCGGCCGCCGCUGAGAUCUGGGACGGCGGCACAUCCAGCCCGGGAGACGACUGGCUAGGAAAUAGAACUGUAAACCAGAGCUGCUAAUUACUUUAAGGUUUUUUAAGUCACAUCUUCAUAAUUUAAAUUAAUUUACCUUUACCAAAACUGCUUAUAAUCAGAUUGCUGUAAUAAUAAUCAUAGAACUAGAAAUAUCUAAGAACAUUUGAAAAUAUGGCUCAAAGACCAUAAUACUCAGCUGAAGAUGAGGAAAUAGUAACUUGUUCCUGGCUUAUUAGUUUUCCUGUUCUCAAUUAUAUAUGCCCCAGUAAUAGUACAACUAAUUUGACAGGCAGUAUGAUAAGGAACAAUCUGAAUGACACGUAAACAGGAGGGGGUAAAUUCCAAGCACAGCCUGAAUGAGAAGUACAACUCAUUUCCUGUAACCUAGAUGCCUUUUUAACACAUCUAUGCAGUCUCCAUGUGAAACCAGGUGCUGUUCCCAAAGGAGAAAACACUGCCCUCCAGUGGUCUUCAAUGAAGAAAUGGAAAUAGUUUCAGGUGGAAACCAGGCUUCUUGGAAGACUUCAAACUAUGCCAAAUGGUCUGAUUUCACCAUAGAGAAUGUUAUACUAUUAAUUGCCAAUUUGCAUAUGUGUGCAGCUGCUGUUUUGGCUCUGAACUCAAUCCGAUAAGCUUGCUGGAGGUAUCGCAGAGCACUUGGCAGCUUUCCUAUUUGAAAAGAAAGCCUCUCCCCUCUACAGAACAGCUGAUCGUCUAUCAGCGAUAGACCCUGAUGGCGUGAAUUAC
Molecule: long non-coding RNA, 879 nt
Organism: Homo sapiens (human)
Lineage: Eukaryota; Metazoa; Chordata; Mammalia; Primates; Hominidae
Gene: PSMD14-DT
Product: PSMD14 divergent transcript
Source: Ensembl